RNAcentral lists this ribosomal RNA (253 nucleotides) under uncultured bacterium. RNAcentral's name for it is "partial 16S ribosomal RNA". It matches the Rfam family "Bacterial small subunit ribosomal RNA", at positions 524 to 776 of the family's 1533-position model. The record is from RNAcentral.
UACAGAGGUGGCGAGCGUUGUUCGGAUUUAUUGGGCGUAAAGCGUCCGUAGGCCGCUUGGAAAGUUGGAUGUGAAAUCCUGCAGCUUGACUGCAGAACUGCAUUCAAAACUCCCAGGCUAGAGGAUGAGAGGGGUAGAGGGAAUUCCCGGUGUAAGGGUGAAAUCUGCAGAGAUCGGGAAGAACACCAGUCGCGAAGGCGCUCUACUGGCUCAUAUCUGACGCUGAGGGACGAAAGCUAGGGGAGCAAACGGG